Molecule: ribosomal RNA, 775 nt
Filed under: uncultured Neocallimastigales
Lineage: Eukaryota; Fungi; Neocallimastigomycota; Neocallimastigomycetes; Neocallimastigales
Description: partial large subunit ribosomal RNA
Rfam family: Eukaryotic large subunit ribosomal RNA
Source: RNAcentral
GAGACUCUGUGCGCGUGCAUAUCAAUAAGCGGAGGAAAAGAAACUAACAAGGAUUCCCUUAGUAACGGCGAGUGAAGCGGGAAGAGCUCAAAUUUGAAAUCUUCAAGGUUCUACCUUGACGAAUUGUAGUUUAUAAGAAGUGUUUUCUGUUAGUGGAGUGGCAAAAGUUCUUUGGAAUAGGACAUCAUAGAGGGUGAGAAUCCCGUAUUUGGUCAUUCCUCCUAGCGUUGUGAUACACUUUCAACGAGUCGGAUUGUUUGGGAAUGCAGUCCAAAAUGGGUGGUAGAUUUCAUCUAAAGCUAAAUAUUGGCGAGAGACCGAUAGCGAACAAGUACCGUGAGGGAAAGAUGAAAAGAACUUUGAAAAGAGAGUUAAACAGUACGUGAAAUUGUCAAAAGGGAAGCGUUUGACACCAGUGUUGUUUUUCCGAAAAUCAAUUACGAAUGUUUUGUUUUUGAGGAGUUAUGACUUCAUCGGCUUGCUCCUUUCUUUACGAAGCUUUCUUAAUGCACUUUUCGGUUAACAAGUCAACAUCAAUUUCUUUUGUUGUAAAAGGGUAUGAGGAAGGUGGCUUUCUUUUCGGAGAAAGUGUUUAUAGCCUUGUGCCUCUGCAAUCGGAGAGAUUGAGGUCUGCAGCGUAGAUCCUUCGGGGUUAGAUACGUUGGUGCUAAGUUAUAGCUUUUCAUAGACAACUUGUUGACUAUGUUUAGUCUUGUAGCCUACUCGCUGACGCUAUUUUACCUACGCUUAGGAUGUUGAAGAUGUAGCACAUCAU